This 424-nucleotide ribosomal RNA is filed under the name uncultured bacterium. Its description in RNAcentral is "partial 16S ribosomal RNA". It matches the Rfam family "Bacterial small subunit ribosomal RNA", at positions 355 to 771 of the family's 1533-position model. The record is from RNAcentral.
UGGGGAAUAUUGGACAAUGGGCGCAAGCCUGAUCCAGCAAUGCCGCGUGUGUGAAGAAGGCCCUCGGGUUGUAAAGCACUUUUAUCAGGAGCGAAAUCUGCAAGGCUAAUACCCUUGUAGUCUGACGGUACCUGAGGAAUAAGCACCGGCUAACUCCGUGCCAGCAGCCGCGGUAAUACGGAGGGUGCAAGCGUUAAUCGGAAUUACUGGGCGCAAAGCGUGUGUAGGCGGUUUGUUAAGUCUGUUGUGAAAGCCCCGGGCUCAACCUGGGAAUGGCAAUGGAUACUGGCAAGCUAGAGUGUGAUAGAGGAUGGUGGAAUUCCCGGUGUAGCGGUGAAAUGCGUAGAGAUCGGGAGGAACAUCAGUGGCGAAGGCGGCCAUCUGGAUCAACACUGACGCUGAGACACGAAAGCGUGGGGAGCAG